Molecule: long non-coding RNA, 1178 nt
Organism: Mercenaria mercenaria
Lineage: Eukaryota; Metazoa; Mollusca; Bivalvia; Venerida; Veneridae
Exons: 2
Source: RefSeq, a predicted model, not a curated record
AUGAAGAGCAAUUUGAAAAUUGACUGACGUGACACUCCUGCGUGUUUCCAUUAUGCAGUACAGGAAAUGAAUUCUUAUUUACUAUUUUAUAGAAAAAUAUGUUGAUAUACACAUAAUGCGUUGCCUGUCAUGAAACAAUUGCGAAAACAGGAUGUAAUUUACUUAUUUAUAGCGUCAAUCAGAGUGUUCCAAUAAGAUGUCCAGGAAAUGGUACAUUAGGUCAAGCGAAUUAUAUAUUAUAUAAAAGUGUGAUGUAUGAUAUAUAAAGGACUCACAAUCAUUAUAAAUUCCACAAAACACAAAGUUUUACAGGAAUACGCAUUAAAGCCAAGGUGAAUCAAAGGUCAGAAGAUUUGAAAUUAGAAUCGACUAAAAAAGAGAGUGAAUAUGGCUAUAAGAUUGAUUUAUCUACUAUUGACAGCAAUACUUAUGAGCGAGUUUGUUUUAGUAACUAGUCAAUUAUGUGAACGUCGAGGAUACCGAUGCAUCAAUAAUGGGUGUACAAGGAGACCCAGUUUUAGCUGUGUACGAAUAGGCAGAACGUGUCGAUGCCGUAGUCCUUACAUUAUAGGAAAUCCCGCACCUUCUCUACCAGAUCAGUCGAACAAUACAGCUUUAGAGACCGAUUUAAGUUAAGAACGACAAAUAUGUUCCCAUGCAACUAUAAGGAGAGACUGAUUACAUUUAGAUGUGCUUGCGCAUAGGAUAUAGCUGCAGGAAUAAUAAAUAGAAUUUCCAAAAAAUAUUGACCGAGAUUUGCUUGCGCAUAGGAUAUAGCUGCAGGAAUAAUUAAUAGAAUUUACAAAAAAAAUGACCGAGAUGUGCUUGCGCAUAGGAUAUAGCUGCAGGAAUAAUUAAUAGAAUUUACAAAAAAAAUUGACCGAGAUGUGUAGAUAAUGUUUAAGUAAAUGCUGUGAAAAUAUGUGGUGUAAAAUGCCGAUGACAGAACUGGAACUAAUCCUUUUGCAACACAAAUUAUGAUUGGACAUAAAUGGCGGCUAUAAGUUUGUAUUUAAAACUAUCCGGAUGCAAUAGCUGGCUUUAUUUAACAAAACGAUUGUUGUCAAUUAAGGAAAAUUAAAAAAGAAAACAUGUUUGUUGCUAAUUCUAUUUACAUGAAAAGCUUUUCUCAAUGUUAAUACAAGUGUAUAAUACAGGAGAAUAAAUUCAAACCUACG